AACGAACGCUGGCGGCAUGCCUAACACAUGCAAGUCGAACGAGACCUUCGGGUCUAGUGGCGCACGGGUGCGUAACGCGUGGGAACCUGCCCUUAGGUUCGGAAUAACUCCCCGAAAGGGGUGCUAAUACCGGAUAAUGUCUUCGGACCAAAGAUUUAUCGCCUUUGGAUGGGCCCGCGUUGGAUUAGCUAGUUGGUAGGGUAAAAGCCUACCAAGGCGACGAUCCAUAGCUGGUCUGAGAGGAUGAUCAGCCACACUGGGACUGAGACACGGCCCAAACUCCUGCGGGGGAAGACAGGGGGGAAGAUGGAAAAAGGGGGAAAGAACAAGGCCAGCAAAGCCGGGGAAGUGAUGAAGGCAUUAGGGUUGGAAAGCUUUUUUACCCGGGAUAAAAAGAAAAGAACCGGGAAAAAAAGCACCGGAAAACCCGGG
This 432-nucleotide ribosomal RNA is filed under the name uncultured bacterium. RNAcentral describes it as "partial 16S ribosomal RNA". It matches the Rfam family "Bacterial small subunit ribosomal RNA", at positions 30 to 506 of the family's 1533-position model. The record is from RNAcentral.